Molecule: ribosomal RNA, 1000 nt
Filed under: Spatulifer maringaensis
Lineage: Eukaryota; Metazoa; Platyhelminthes; Cestoda; Proteocephalidea; Monticelliidae
Description: eukaryotic LSU rRNA
Rfam family: Eukaryotic large subunit ribosomal RNA
Source: RNAcentral
AGGAUUCCCCUAGUAACGGCGAGUGAAGAGGGAAAAGCCCAGCACCGAAGCCUGCGCAGUUUUGCUGUUAGGCAAUGUGGUGUUUGGGUCGGCUCGUGGGACCACCACUCCACUCGAAGUCCAGCAUUGAGUAUGGUUACUGGAUUUGGCCCAGAGAGGGUGAAAGGCCCGUACGGUGGAGUAUCAGACAUGUGAGGUGGUUCACCAGGUCGACCUUAGAGUCGGGUUGUUUGGGAAUGCAGCCCAAAGUGGGUGGUAAACUCCAUCCAAGGCUAAAUACAAGCACGAGUCCGAUAGCGAACAAGUACCGUGAGGGAAAGUUGAAAAGUACUCUGAAGAGAGAGUAACCAGUACGUGAAACCGCAUGCAGGUAAACGGGUGGCGUCAAGCUGCAAGCCCGGAGAAUUCAGCCGGCUAGUUGUGUAUGCGCCUGGGCGAUCAGUCCAUCAGUCAGAGUAUGAUUGGGUAGUCCACUAGUAAACAGUGGGCCUGUCCGCAAGGCAGAUAUGUGUACCGGGUGGGUGCCGGAGCAUGCUAUCCGUCUGUGGACUGUCUAGCCGGUGCACUUUCUCCGUGGUCAACACCACGACCGGUGGUAUUGCCAGUCUGCUGUGUCCAAGUCGUAUUUGGUAGGUCCUUGUGGCCAACCGAGUGCGAUCACAGGCAAACUCAGUAAACGGCGUGAGGGUGUUUCGGCACUUUCAUGUGUUAUCGGCUACUGGUUGUCAACGGGCCUGCUCUGUGUUUGUUGUAGCCGACACAGGGUGGUUCGGUGGGGCAUGGUGGUAAGAAUAACUGUGCAAGGCACCGGGGUUAUCGGCCUCAAAUGCGUCCUGCGUCCACGUUACAAGUGUAGGUACUGUGUCGCCGCUGCCUGCUCGGUGCUGGGUGUGAUUGGCGUGUUGCCUGCGAAAAGUAGGCCGCCAAUGGCUCGGUUCGAGGUGGGUGGUUGGUGGCGUUGUCGACGGCGUGGGGCGUGGUGGGCCUAAUAGUCAGUGGU